UUGUCCUACGGGACGCAGCAGUGGGGAAUAUUGCACAAUGGGGGAAACCCUGAUGCAGCGACGCCGCGUGGGUGAAGAAGUAAUUCGUUACGUAAAGCCCUAUCAGCAGGGAAGAAAAUGACGGUACCUGAGUAAGAAGCCCCGGCUAACUACGUGCCAGCAGCCGCGGUAAUACGUAGGGGGCAAGCGUUAUCCGGAUUUACUGGGUGUAAAGGGAGCGUAGACGGAGCGCCAAGUCUGGAGUGAAAUGCCGCGGCUUAACCGCGGAACUGCUUUGGAAACUGGCGCGCUUGAGUGCGGGAGGG
Molecule: ribosomal RNA, 305 nt
Filed under: uncultured bacterium
Lineage: Bacteria
Description: bacterial SSU rRNA
Rfam family: Bacterial small subunit ribosomal RNA
Source: RNAcentral